UCUUAAGACUAGCCAUGCAUGCCUCGAAUAGAAGAGCAUCUCUCUGAAUCUGCGAACGGCUCCGCAAACCAGUUGUAAACUAUAGCAAGUCCGCCUUGGUGCCGGCCGUAAGGUUGGUGCUGGGGCUACAUGGAUACCCGUGGUAAUUCUGAGGCUAAUACAUGAACGUACCCCCUGAUCAACUGGGUAACCGGGAGGUUGGGGACAGUGCGGUCAGUCGCAGAUUUUGCUGGGAAUAGACGCACUUUCAAACCACCAUACAAGCAGUUGGGGUACCGACCUUCGGGAAGGUGCCCUUUCUGGGUGGGCCUUGCUUUGUGCUUCUGACCUAUCAACUAGAUGGCAGCGUAACGGACAUGCUAUGGUUACAACGGGUACAGAGGAUAAGGGUUCGA
RNAcentral lists this ribosomal RNA (395 nucleotides) under Fuligo cinerea. Its description in RNAcentral is "SSU rRNA". It matches the Rfam family "Eukaryotic small subunit ribosomal RNA", at positions 47 to 380 of the family's 1831-position model. The record is from RNAcentral. Lineage: Eukaryota; Evosea; Eumycetozoa; Physariida; Physaraceae.